CCUUCUUCAGCUCAUAUAAGGUAAAAGGCAGCGAGGCCUCGGUGGCCAGAGAGCCACGGGCAAGGGGCUGAGCAGAGGGGGGUUCCAAUGCCAGUUGCUUAAAAAUGCCCCUGUAGCACCAAGAGGUGCCAGACCCAAGUGAAUUUAGUUGAGAAGCAAUAACACCCACAACCACACCCCAAAUAGACUGGGCCUCCACCUCCGAAGAUUCAUCCCUGGACCAGACACCAGUCAAGGCAAGAGUGAUGGCUGGUAGGAUUCCUCCUACACUGGAGAAGAGACCCAGAGAGGAACCUUCCUGAGAAGCGGAGAAGGGACAGUGACGGCCGCCCAGCUCCCAGAACUCGUCCCCUCCUCUCACCCCUCCCGGGAGCUUCCCAACGGACAGAAGGGAGAGAUCCCCUUGCCUGGAGACAUUUUCUGAAGACAUGGGAAAAGGAGACGAGGCGGGCUACUCCCUGGCAGCAGGCCUUCAAGCUGUUGACAACCAGUACCAAGAAGAGUGCCAGGUAAGAUCUGGAGUCCACCUGGUUCAGCCACCGCUUUAACAGAAUAGAGAACCAAGCCCGAGAGAUGAAGGGGCCCAGUGAGAAAUAUCCCUGCUCUCUGGGGAUAGAGCUUGGCUCUCUAAGCCUCUCUCAUCUUCGAAACGGCAGCUCAGGGAGGGCGAAGGAGCCUUUCUUGGGGUGAAUGAAAGGUUUUUUGAAUACUUCUUCUCAGGGAGGCUACAUGUGAGGGAGCCAGGGGUCCGGACAAGCUCUGCCUACCAGCCCAGGACGUGUAUGUUCAUGGGCCCAGAGAAAAAAGGCAUACCUUCCAGUCCUACUGUUCCUUCCCACCAUCCCAGUCCCCACCCCACCCCACCCCACCACCAAGAGGCCUUUCGAGCUACUCAAGGGGUGGGGGAAGGAACCUCCCUGGCCACAAGCUCUUGGCAGUCUUUCCACGGGCUCUCUAGAGUUCCGAUGAGUCUGCCCCCAUGCCCUCCUCGGUGCCUUCCUUCCCCCUCAGCCUUCUGUGUCCUGCAAGGACAAGGACAGUAUUAAGGCUGCAGUGCAGGGACAUACUCCCUUAGCACAUAGAGAUGGUUCUGGGUCUGCUGAAUGAGCUGUCCCACAUCCAGAGAACUAAGAAACUGAGAUAUCAGGCAUGGAGUUGAAGGUGAGGGGCCAGGCCCAGCAUGGUACCUUACACUCCAACCCCGGGGAAAAUUCUAUUUCCUUGGAGCCUUGGAGACCUAUGGGGAUAUGUGCAUUUAAAUGUUCACCAGCUUGACUAUUCUAGAAUCACAGGGACAGAACGAGACAGUCUUUAUCCAGGGAUGGGACAAGGAAGAAGAGGCAAAGACCUUUCCUGGCUGAACGCCUCCCUCUCCAUACUGUCUGGCCAUUUGUGCCUCCUUAAGGAAGAUGGACCACCUGCUGUCUAGUUCUCGUGUCCCGCUGAGAAGAUGUAAAAUCUUUGCCACGUUCUCCUUUAUCCCAAGGUGGGACAGCAGCAGCUCUCAUUUCCCCUUUCUGAGUUGCUGUCUGCAAAUCUAGAAUGCCCUAUCCCCAUUCCUGGUCCUCCAACCAAGGUGAUCAUUUCCAGCCACAAAAGCUGACCAGAAGGUAGAGCAGGCUCUGCUGUCCCACCCCAAACCUAAUCAUUGGAUGUCCUGUUUUUCACUUUCGUCUGCAAUUUUAUUGCAAAGAGUAAGGGGAAUCCUUUUAUGUACCUAGGCUGGAAUACUUGUUAGAAAUGGAAAGCUAACACCAGCCAGAGUUUUAAACAAUAAUAAUGAUGAAGAUGCAACAUC
Molecule: long non-coding RNA, 1798 nt
Filed under: Mus caroli (Ryukyu mouse)
Lineage: Eukaryota; Metazoa; Chordata; Mammalia; Rodentia; Muridae
Description: lncRNA (MGP_CAROLIEiJ_G0005266.1)
Source: RNAcentral